This 500-nucleotide unclassified non-coding RNA is filed under the name Ceratocystis manginecans. RNAcentral's name for it is "partial contains ITS1, 5.8S rRNA and ITS2". The stretch from base 165 to 318 matches the Rfam family "5.8S ribosomal RNA". The record is from RNAcentral. Lineage: Eukaryota; Fungi; Ascomycota; Sordariomycetes; Microascales; Ceratocystidaceae.
AUGUGUGAACGUACCUAUCUUGUAGUGAGAUGAAUGCUGUUUUGGUGGUAGGGCCCUUCUGAAGAGAGGGCACCGCUGCCAGCAGUAUAGUCUCACCACUAUAAAACUCUUUUAUUAUUUUCUAGAUUUUUCAUUGCUGAGUGGCAUAACUAUAAAAAAGUUAAAACUUUCAACAACGGAUCUCUUGGCUCUAGCAUCGAUGAAGAACGCAGCGAAAUGCGAUAAGUAAUGUGAAUUGCAGAAUUCAGUGAAUCAUCGAAUCUUUGAACGCACAUUGCGCCUGGCAGUAUUCUGCCAGGCAUGCCUGUCCGAGCGUCAUUUCACCACUCAAGACUCUUUUGUUCUUGGCGUUGGAGGUCCUGUUCUCCCCUGAACAGGCCGCCGAAAUGUAUCGGCUGUUAUACUUGCCAACUCCCCUGUGUAGUAUAAAAUUUCUAAUUUUUCACACUUUGAAGUUCUUGUGUAACACGCCGCUAAACCCGCUCAACUUUUGUUGAACU